UUGCCUCGGCGGAUCAGCCCGCGCCCCGUAAAACGGGACGGCCCGCCGCAGGAACCACAAAACUCUGAUUUUAGUGUAACUUCUGAGUCUAAAAAACAAAUAAAUCAAAACUUUCAACAACGGAUCUCUUGGUUCUGGCAUCGAUGAAGAACGCAGCAAAAUGCGAUAAGUAAUGUGAAUUGCAGAAUUCAGUGAAUCAUCGAAUCUUUGAACGCACAUUGCGCCCGCCAGUAUUCUGGCGGGCAUGCCUGUUCGAGCGUCAUUUCAACCCUCAAGCCCCCGGGUUUGGUGUUGGGGAUCGGGCUGUACUCCAGCCCGGCCCCGAAAUCUAGUGGCGGUCUCGCUGCAGCCUCCAUUGCGUAGUAGCUAACACCUCGCAACUGGAACGCGGCGCGGCCAAGCCGUUAAACCCCCAACUUCUGAAUGUUGACCUCGGAUCAGGUAGGAAUA
RNAcentral lists this ribosomal RNA (450 nucleotides) under Fusarium brachygibbosum. Its description in RNAcentral is "eukaryotic LSU rRNA". The stretch from base 109 to 262 matches the Rfam family "5.8S ribosomal RNA". Lineage: Eukaryota; Fungi; Ascomycota; Sordariomycetes; Hypocreales; Nectriaceae. The record is from RNAcentral.